This is a long non-coding RNA of Aedes albopictus (Asian tiger mosquito), 592 nucleotides long. RefSeq lists it as uncharacterized. The record is from RefSeq and is a predicted model, not a curated record. NCBI's taxonomy places the organism in Eukaryota, Metazoa, Arthropoda, Insecta, Diptera, Culicidae. The transcript has 2 exons.
CCAUAAUUUCAAACUAGAAGAGACGAAAAUAAUAGACAGAACAUUCAAAACAAACAACUUAAAUAUUCUUGAGAGCUGCCACAUAUACAACACAAACCACACUGUAAAUAAACGCACUGACACUGAUAAUCUCCAUACAGCUUAUGCAGGACUGUUACACACAUUGAAAAAUGAGAGAAAUAUGAGACGAAACUGAUGAUCAAAACAAACUUGAAGAAAUACUCAAAAAUUGUAAACACAAACACUAAUGUAAAACACCCUGACACACACAAUGACGUUGAAAUGAAAUAUGAAAAGCAAUGGUGGAAGACAGCAAAACAGUGUGCCCGAAUUCGACCAGCGCAGAAUAUUGCGGAUUAUCCGACGCACAAACCGUCAAACUUAGUCGGACCAAGUCGAAAAACAGACCAUUUUUUCAUAUGACAUUUUCACGUUAUACAAAACCAAUCUUGACGAAAAAACAGUAGCAAAUCGGUAACUAGAAGUCAAAUUAUACCAAUGUAACAUUAUUUUAUAAUACGAUAAUUAAACUAUUUUAGAACCCUUGAAAAAGAUCCCAAACGGAUCGAAACGUCGGGAAAGUUUUAAACAA